AUUGAACGCUGGCGGCAGGCUUAACACAUGCAAGUCGAGCGGGGGAAGGUAGCUUGCUACCGGACCUAGCGGCGGACGGGUGAGUAAUGCUUAGGAAUCUGCCUAUUAGUGGGGGACAACAUCUCGAAAGGGAUGCUAAUACCGCAUACGUCCUACGGGAGAAAGCAGGGGAUCUUCGGACCUUGCGCUAAUAGAUGAGCCUAAGUCGGAUUAGCUAGUUGGUGGGGUAAAGGCCUACCAAGGCGACGAUCUGUAGCGGGUCUGAGAGGAUGAUCCGCCACACUGGGACUGAGACACGGCCCAGACUCCUACGGGAGGCAGCAGUGGGGAAUAUUGGACAAUGGGGGGAACCCUGAUCCAGCCAUGCCGCGUGUGUGAAGAAGGCCUUAUGGUUGUAAAGCACUUUAAGCGAGGAGGAGGCUACUUUAGUUAAUACCUAGAGAUAGUGGACGUUACUCGCAGAAUAAGCACCGGCUAACUCUGUGC
This 486-nucleotide ribosomal RNA is filed under the name Acinetobacter sp. OC4. Its description in RNAcentral is "bacterial SSU rRNA". It matches the Rfam family "Bacterial small subunit ribosomal RNA", at positions 30 to 508 of the family's 1533-position model. Lineage: Bacteria; Pseudomonadati; Pseudomonadota; Gammaproteobacteria; Moraxellales; Moraxellaceae. RNAcentral also lists the same sequence under 1 other name. The record is from RNAcentral.